This 764-nucleotide long non-coding RNA is filed under the name Pan paniscus (pygmy chimpanzee). Its description in RNAcentral is "lncRNA (ENSPPAG00000044609.1)". The record is from RNAcentral. Lineage: Eukaryota; Metazoa; Chordata; Mammalia; Primates; Hominidae.
AGUAUGUGAUAUAUAAUUUAUUAUCUAAAUUUGGACACUUUUGUCUGGAAAGAAAAAGAAGAAAAGUAAAGAAAAACUGCUAGGAUGCUGGGACAAGAGGUGCACCACAUCCUGCUGGGGAAAGCAAACCAGAACAUCAGGUCAUCCUGGGUAGACACAACCUGAGCCAGUGAGCAACACUGCCCCCAUUCCAGCUGAUUUCUAGUGUAAUUUUCCAUCAUCUGCCUUUUUAAAUGUAGAAAGUCUUGAUUCAGGCUUGACUGGAAGUAUUAAAUGUCUACCUCACUUUUGAUAGGAAGAAGAUGAUUUUUCACCUAGUGGAGUCAUUGAACAGUGGUCUUCAAAUUGGGAUUAUUUCCAAGAAUGGGCAGACUAGAAUUGCAGUGCACAGAUACAAGAAUGUUGCCUGCUUUGGAGCCAAGACUGCCUUCCGGAUAAAGGGCCCACAGAGAGCUGAGAGCUGUGUAAUACCUCAAAGACUGAAGAAAAGAGUUAGACAGCCAUCUUUCCUUAGAGGAUUUUGCUGCAGACAGCUUGAACUACCAGAAGGUUAUAUACUGACCAUGGGUAGAGAAAGGAAGAAAUACAUCCUUCGGAAAGGACAAUGAAGAUCUUUACAGCAGGGUCUUGCCUCAUCACUGCCAUGACAGGGGGGUCCAAUGUGAGGAUACUGGUGUCUAUGCCAAGCAUCUCUUUUCCAACGUAGAUCUGAUUUCUUAACAUAGCCAACAGCAAGUCAACAUCAGCUUUGCAGAGAAAAGCAG